RNAcentral lists this non-coding RNA (82 nucleotides) under uncultured Lachnoclostridium sp. Its description in RNAcentral is "S10-Clostridia ribosomal protein leader". It matches the Rfam family "S10-Clostridia ribosomal protein leader". The record is from RNAcentral. Lineage: Bacteria; Bacillati; Bacillota; Clostridia; Lachnospirales; Lachnospiraceae.
UGAUAGCUGUGAAGCGCGAGGUUGCUGCCCGUCAAGGCAGGUUUUCCGUGGAGCGAAUGUCAAGUUAGGAAACUGGCGACAA